GACGAACGCUGGCGGCGUGCCUAAUACAUGCAAGUCGAACGCUUCUUUCCUCCCGAGUGCUUGCACUCAAUUGGAAAGAGGAGUGGCGGACGGGUGAGUAACACGUGGGUAACCUACCCAUCAGAGGGGGAUAACACUUGGAAACAGGUGCUAAUACCGCAUAACAGUUUAUGCCGCAUGGCAUAAGAGUGAAAGGCGCUUUCGGGUGUCGUUGAUGGAUGGACCCGCGGUGCAUUAGCUAGUUGGUGAGGUAACGGCUCACCAAGGCCACGAUGCAAAGCCGACCUGAGAGGGUGAUCGGCCACACUGGGACUGAGACACGGCCCAGACUCCUACGGGAGGCAGCAGUAGGGAAUCUUCGGCAAUGGACGAAAGUCUGACCGAGCAACGCCGCGUGAGUGAAGAAGGUUUUCGGAUCGUAAAACUCUGUUGUUAGAGAAGAACAAGGACGUUAGUAACUGAACGUCCCCUGACGGUAUCUAACCAGAAAGCCACGGCUAACUACGUG
This 508-nucleotide ribosomal RNA is filed under the name uncultured bacterium. Its description in RNAcentral is "partial 16S ribosomal RNA". It matches the Rfam family "Bacterial small subunit ribosomal RNA", at positions 28 to 507 of the family's 1533-position model. The record is from RNAcentral.